CUAUGUAUGCUUGACCAAUCA
Molecule: microRNA, 21 nt
Filed under: Populus trichocarpa (black cottonwood)
Lineage: Eukaryota; Viridiplantae; Streptophyta; Magnoliopsida; Malpighiales; Salicaceae
Description: ptc-miR6434
Source: miRBase by way of RNAcentral